Molecule: ribosomal RNA, 799 nt
Filed under: uncultured Glomus
Lineage: Eukaryota; Fungi; Glomeromycota; Glomeromycetes; Glomerales; Glomeraceae
Description: SSU rRNA
Rfam family: Eukaryotic small subunit ribosomal RNA
Source: RNAcentral
AUCAACUUUCGAUUGGUAGGAUAGAGGCCUACCAUGGUGGUAACGGGUAACGGGGUGUUAGGGCACGACACCGGAGAGGGAGCCUGAGAAACGGCUACCACAUCCAAGGAUGGCAGCAGGCGCGCAAAUUACCCAAUCCCGACACGGGGAGGUAGUGACAAUAAAUAACAAUACGGGGUUCUUUCGGAUUUUGUAAUUGGAAUGAGUACAAUUUAAAUCUCUUAACGAGGAACAAUUGGAGGGCAAGUCUGGUGCCAGUAGCCGCGGUAAUUCCAGCUCCAAUAGCGUAUAUUAAAGUUGCUGCAGUUAAAAAGCUCGUAGUUGAAUUUCGGGACCAAUAUGUCGGUCGUGCCUCGGUACGUACUGGCAUCGUUGGUUUCUCCCUUCUGACGAACCAUGAUGUCAUUCAUUUGGUGUCGUGGGGAAUCAGGACUGUUACUUUGAAAAAAUUAGAGUGUUUAAAGCAGGCUCACGCUUGAAUACAUUAGCAUGGAAUAAUGAAAUAGGACGUUUGAUUCUAUUUUGUUGGUUUCUAGGAUCGACGUAAUGAUUAAUAGGGAUAGUUGGGGGCAUUAGUAUUCAAUUGUCAGAGGUGAAAUUCUUGGAUUUAUUGAAGACUAACUACUGCGAAAGCAUUUGCCAAGGAUGUUUUCAUUAAUCAAGAACGAAGGUUAGGGGAUCGAAGACGAUCAGAUACCGUCGUAGUCUUAACCAUAAACUAUGCCGACUAGGGAUCGGAUGAUGUUAAUUUUUUAAUGACUCAUUCGGCGCCUUACGGGAAACCAAAGUGUUUGGGUUC